CUGUCCGUUUCUACCGAGCCUUAAAUCCGCGUGAGAGACAGCCCUGUCUUCUGGGUCUUGGAUCCCCGUGGGGAACCUGUCUGUGCCUACGAAGUCUCAGAUCCUCGUGAGAGACCUGUCAUAUCUGCGGGGUCGCAGAUCCUCGGUAUCUGAGUAGAAUUUACCCGUAUCUGUUAACAGUUUGAAGAGCUGAAGGAAUUGGAAAGGAAAUAGAAGGUGUUGUUGAACUGCCUUGGUUAAGUCUUCUAGGAUGAACAGCCUAAUCAGCGGGCACACAGGAUGAGCCAUAACUGUACAAGGCUGCCUUCUACGGGGAACGCGGAAUGAAGUAAGGGGUAAGAGAGCAAGGAGGCUGGUGUGGACAGGCUGUGGAGUUUUCCAGGAAGCAGAGGUGACAUCAGCAGUGCGAAGGUGGAGAUGCUGUAACUCGCAUAGGCACUUCUAGGCCGAGCUGCGAAGAAGCCGGGGGAAGGGUCCAAGCAGAGAGCUGGCAUAGCCAUAAUCCCGCUUCGGUUGUGCGUGUGUGUUCGUGCUAGCUGCCACGUCACUGUAGACCAACACGGUCUUGGAGCCCAAAAGUGGGUGUGAGCAGUCAGUGCCAUGACGAGGAAAUGACCCAGAUGCCGGAAAGAUGGUGACGAUUGAAUCCACCAGAUUUUCUGAGUGUCUAAUGUUGAGUAUGAGAGAAAGAAGUCAUGGACAGCUCUCCUGUGGGUGACCAGAAACCGGAGGUGUGGGGGUGCUUGGAUGUCUCACUUGGAUCUGCUAAACUCGGCACACCAAAUGAGCAUCCGAGAGAGAUGCCAAGGGCAUCUGAACAUAAGUGUGGGAUAAUAGACGGGUUCCACUUGAGCAUCUGAGAACAUGCAGUGAGUGGGUAGAGACUAUAAAAAGAGAGGAUUCAGUGGAGCAUAGCUGGGCCUGGACCCACCCACUAGCCGUGGAGCCAUCUUCCUAUUGGUCUGUCCCGAUCCUCUGAGGUGCUUCACUCAAACCACAGUGCCUUUUCUGCCUCUGAUGCCAAGAUGGAGCCCAAUUCUGCAGGAGCACGCUCAGGAGGCCACUGCCAUUGACAACAGACAAGGUCACACAAUGGAAGGCCACAUGGCACAGCCAGAAGUAGAAUGGUGGCAGUGGGAACUGGCCUUUGCUUCUUCUGCCGUGUUCUCUCCAAGGAAGAUGGCGACCCAGAUCCUGGGAGAGCUGUCCAGAACUCUCUGAACACCCUAUGCUGCUGGCGUCUGUGGGUGUAAUUUCAAGAAAACCAUCACGUUUCAUUAACUUAUUCCAGGAAACGGGACAAGCACAAGCGCCCACACUUCUGAGAAGGAGCAUCUGAGAACCCAGCACUAGCAGGGGCUUGCUUAGCGUUGAAUUUCUUGUACCAAUUGAUGUUUGGGAAGGGCUGGGUACAUCUUGUCAACAUGGGGGGCAGGUGCUCAUGAGCAGCUCGCAGGGGACAUUGAGUGCCCUGGCUGAGCCAAUGUGGGAAGAUGAAAGUAGAGAGAAAGGGAGGGGAACAAGAGUCCUGGCCUAAGGGCCAGGAGCAGACGCCACUGUGGCACAUGGAGGACCCCAGGCAGGGUACGCAUUGGCCCUAGAUUUGGGAGCUGUAUUUAGCUUCUAGUAAAAUAAUUCGACCUGUGGUACCUUCAGUGGAAGAUUUAUUCUCCCAAUUCUCCCCAAAGAAUUCAGAGUAUCUCUACAAACUCACCAGGGAACUAAGCUCCUUUUAGUUCUCUGAUCUGCAGUCUUAAUUUCUUUCUUUUAGCUCCCAAAGCUGCCUCAUGAACCAAUGUGGCUGUCAGGAGCUCUGCCCACUACAUGCACAUUCUGGGAAACAGGAAAGCGGUGUAAAGGAAAUGCAGAAGAGGUUCACGCCCUUCAUCCUCGGAGAGUUUCCUAAGAAGCCCAUAUUUCUGUGAUACAAGCUCCAUCACACAGCCACAUCUAUUUACAGAGAAGGGUGGGCAAACACGGAGGUGCCGAGCUAGCUGAGAGAAGUGAGGGAGUGGGGACUAUCAGAGGCAACAUGGGCUCCAUGUUACCGUCCUGAACAAGUCUGCUCUGAUCCUAAACCUCCAUGCCCUAGAAAAAAGA
Myodes glareolus (Bank vole) is the source of this 2100-nucleotide non-coding RNA. Lineage: Eukaryota; Metazoa; Chordata; Mammalia; Rodentia; Cricetidae. The record is from RefSeq and is a predicted model, not a curated record.